UUGAGGAUGGCGGUGUAAGGAGCUCCAGACUCCUGGACAGAGUGGAGUCAAUUUUCCCUUUAGUCACUGUUUUCUCCCCUCUCUGAUGGCUUCCCGUCUAACAGGCUGAGGGUGAUUUGGGGUUGACUCAGGGGCACCUUACACCCCCCCCCCCGCAUUUUCUGGAAAUGGCAAGGGGCAGUGUGUUGUAUACUCUGGCCACACACACCAGUGGGAGGGGGAAUGUUAUGGCAGAUCUGGUGUUGGGGGACUUGAUUGCCCACUGUGGCCAAGGACAGAGGGGUGCUGGGAUCUAUGAAGGGUCUCGGGGUAUGAGGGCCACAGCUGCCUGGCCUCUGCUCCUGCCUCUACCCCAUCCCCAGCUGAGCCCUGCAGCCUGGCCCCAGGCCAGCAGCAGGCUCAGCAGGUCCCAGGGGCGUGGUAGCAGCCAGCGGUGGAGCCAGCCUAUAUCGGCAAGGCAGUCAGAGAGGCAGCAUAGUCCAUCGGGAACAGCUGAGCUCACUGCAGUCAGUGCCUGGAGAGGAAGCAUGGCCAUGAGCCCUCUGCUGUACUACGCCUUGCCUGCCCUGGGCAGCUAUGUUGUGAUCUCCAUGUUCUUCCUGCGCCGGCCUCACCUGCUGCACACACCCUGGGUCCCAGCCUUCUUUCCCCGCCUAGGGGCCCACCGGGGAGGAUCUGGAGAGCGGCUGGAGAACACCAUGGAGGCCAUGGAGAACUCCGUGGCCCAGCGAGCAGACCUCCUGGAGCUCGACUGCCAGCUGACACGGGAUGGCGUAGUGGUGGUAUCGCAUGAUGAGAACCUGUCCCGCCAGUCAGGUGUAAAUAGGGAUGUGGGCAGCCUGGACUUUGAGGAGCUGCCCCUCUACAAGGAAGAGCUGGAAGUGUACUUCUCACCAGGCCACUUUGCACAUGGGUCAGACCGGCAUAUGACACGUCUGGAGGACGUGUUCCAGAGGUUCCCUCGGAUGCCCAUGAGCUUGGAGGUCAAAGGGGAAAAUGUAGAGCUCAUUCACAAGAUAGCAGGCCUGGUGACGCGAUUUGACCGCUGUGAAAUCACCAUCUGGGCCUCGGAGAAGAGUUCAAUUAUGAAGAAGUGCAGGGCUGCCAACCCCGAGAUGCCGUUCUCCUUCACAAUAAGCCGAGGAUUCCGGUUGCUGCUGCUCUAUUACCUGGGGCUGCUGCCCUUCAUCCCAAUCCCUGAGAGGUUCCUCAUCUGCUUCUUGCCUACCAUCAUCAACAGGACCUACUUCCCAUUUUCCUCCCCUGGGCUGAACCAGCUGGCUGCCGUGCUUUCCAAAUGGUUCAUCAUGAGGAAAAGUCUGAUCCAACACCUGGAGCAGCGAGGGGUGCAGGCCCUGUGAUACCGGGGACAGAGCAUGGAGCUUACCAUCAAGGGCAGAGGAAGGAAAUGAAGAAGGUCAUCGCGGGGGUGAUGAGUGGACAGAAAGGAAACAGUGCUGUGUGGGGUUAGAGAAGGCCUUCUGGAAGAAGUGAGGAGCUGGCUCAUGGGGAGGGGAAAGGAAGAGCAUGAGAUGGUAGGAGGUAGGAGGCUCAGCGUGUGGGAAGGCCAGGAGGAAUAAGAGGCCAUGGCAGUCCGAGGAACUGAGACGGGUUCUGCCAGGCUGCAGUUGAGGAAGCAGCGCAAGGGGCGCUAGAGGAGGCAGCAGAGGCCGAGGCGGGCAGCUGGUGCACCUCAGUGAGGAGCCUCGACUUCAGCCCAAAGGGAGGGGAAGCUUUUGAGGGGCUUAAGCAGGGAGAGACCUGAUCCAGUUGAGGUUUGUUGAGUGAGGGUCACUCCAGCCACCAUGUGGAGAUGGGAUUGUGGGGCCAGUGUGGAAGUAGAGUCUCAUUAGGAGGCUGAGGCUGCCAGUGACAGGACUUUGGCUUGGGUGGCAGCAGUGGGGAUGGAUGGGAGAGUUAGCCCACAGACAGGCCAGGACUCGACCACUGAUUAGAUGUGGGGCGAGGGAGGCCUGGGGAUGACAUAGGUCUUUCCGAUCAGCCCUCUCACUCUGCGGGUCUUCACAGCUCUUGGAGGUUGGACCGUCACUCUCAUUUGUCACAUUAAGAAAGCAAGAGGUCCAGUGACUUGCCCAGGGUACAAAUACUACGACUGCCUGCCUCACUACCCACAAGAGGGGACUCAGGAGGCAGGAAGAUGCAGAGCCGCAGCAGAUGCGGGCAGGCUGGGCGGCACUGAUCACUGGUAAACCUUCCGCAACUGGCUCUCCGGAAAAAAACACAGCACCCUAAUUUGAGCAUUGGAUAAUUUUCCUGCUGUAUAUAUUCCCACAGUGGCCAAUUUCAGGCUGCCAACAUGAAGUCACUGAACACAGAGUUGAGAAGCACACCAUUAUAUAGUAUUUCUAUCUUAUACAUUCAACAGACAUAACCUCCAGAGCACAGGUGAUAUUUUGGUGCCUUA
This is an RNA transcript of Equus quagga, 2425 nucleotides long. It is a transcript of the gene named glycerophosphodiester phosphodiesterase domain containing 3, with no coding region annotated. The transcript is spliced from 11 exons. Lineage: Eukaryota; Metazoa; Chordata; Mammalia; Perissodactyla; Equidae. The record is from RefSeq and is a predicted model, not a curated record.